GGUGCUCCCUUCAAACCAAUAAACGGUCGAUCUGAUGGGUGGUACAACUGCUCGUUCAUGGUUCCCACUGUCCCAUCUCAUCAGAGAGAGAGAAGAUCGUGAGAGAGCGAGAGAUGCUUGAGAUGGGCUUGUGGUUUGCAUGACCGAGGAGCUGCAUCGUCCCCUUCGUUGACCGCUGUUUGGAUUGAAGGGAGCUCUGC
This 200-nucleotide microRNA precursor is filed under the name Zea mays. RNAcentral describes it as "miR159k stem-loop (zma-MIR159k)". Its record names the gene zma-MIR159k. It matches the Rfam family "MIR159 microRNA precursor family", at positions 13 to 183 of the family's 196-position model. The record is from miRBase by way of RNAcentral. Lineage: Eukaryota; Viridiplantae; Streptophyta; Magnoliopsida; Poales; Poaceae.